GCCUUCGUGGUGUAGUGGUCUGCAUGCUCGGCGCGUAACCGAGAGGUCCGUGGUUCGAUUCCCGGCGAAGGCG
Non-coding RNA from Stegodyphus mimosarum, 73 nucleotides. The record is from Rfam. Lineage: Eukaryota; Metazoa; Arthropoda; Arachnida; Araneae; Eresidae.